Molecule: transfer RNA, 74 nt
Filed under: Sus scrofa (pig)
Lineage: Eukaryota; Metazoa; Chordata; Mammalia; Artiodactyla; Suidae
Rfam family: tRNA
About the family: Transfer RNA (tRNA) molecules are approximately 80 nucleotides in length. Their secondary structure includes four short double-helical elements and three loops (D, anti-codon, and T loops).
Source: Rfam by way of RNAcentral
UCCCUGGUGGCUCAGCAGGUUAAGGGCCUGGCAUUGUCACUGCUGUUGCACAGGUUUGAUUCCUGGCUGGGGGA